CAGAGCUAGAAAGUUGCCCAAGUAAGAAGUGCCUUGAGAGUACAUGACUUUCACAACCUCCGGGCUUAAAGCCGUCUCAAAAAGUCCCUACAGCUUUGCCGUUGAAGUAGGCGGAAGCCGUGCAGCUUUUUUUCACGUCUUUUGCCAUGACCACAACAAGAUGGUGCCACUGACCUGGAACAAGCAAGCUGGAACAACGGAACCUCAGUGAGGUGGGCAAAGAGGUUGGGGUGCCCACUUCUGGCUCCAUCAUAUCUGUAAAUAAAAGUCAUAGUAAGUCCAUAGUAAACGUGGGUCAUAUUACAGGACAAGCACACUGUUCACAUUUUCGCAACCAUUUUUGUUGCAGUAUAUUUUCUCUGGGACAAUACUAUACAAAUGAAAAGUGUAUACACUUUAAAGUAACCAGUGUACAGCUUGUAGCAUAUUAUAGAUUGGCUGGAAUUGGGCGGUAUAGCUCGGUUGGUAGAGUGGCUGUGCCAGCAACUUGAGGGUUGCAAGUUCGAUUCCCGCUUCCGCCAUCCUAGUCACUGCCGUUGUGUCCUUGGGCAAGACACUUUACCCACCUGCUCCCAGUGCCACCCACACUGGUUUAAAUGUAACUUAGAUAUUGGGUUUCACUAUGUAAAGCGCUUUGAGUCACUAGAGUUUCAACGCGUAGAAGCAUUUAAGUCUCACCUUAAAACUCAUCUGUAUACUCUAGCCUUUAAAUAGACCUCCUUUUUAGACCAGUUGAUCUGCCGCUUCUUUUCUUUCUCCUAUGUCCCCCCCUCCCUUGUGGAGGGGGUCCGGUCCGAUGACCAUGGAUGAAGUACUGGCUGUCCAGAGUCGAGACCCAGGAUGGACCGCUCGUCGGGACCCAGGAUGGACCGCUCGCCUGUAUCGGUUGGGGACAUCUCUACGCUGCUGAUCCGCUUGAGAUGGUUUCCUGUGGACGGGACUCUCGCUGCUGUCUUGGAGCCACUAUGGAUUGAACUUUCACAGUAUCAUGUUAGACCCGCUCGACAUCCAUUGCUUUCGGUCCCCUAGAGGGGGGGGGUUGCCCACAUCUGAGGUCCUCUCCAAGGUUUCUCAUAGUCAGCAUUGUCACUGGCGUCCCACUGGAUGUGAAUUCUCCCUGCCCACUGGGUGUGAGUUUUCCUUGCCCUUUUGUGGGUUCUUCCGAGGAUGUUGUAGUCUUAAUGAUUUGUGCAGUCCUUUGAGACAUUUGUGAUUUGGGGCUAUAUAAAUAAACAUUGAUUGAUUGAU
Molecule: long non-coding RNA, 1248 nt
Organism: Nerophis ophidion (straightnose pipefish)
Lineage: Eukaryota; Metazoa; Chordata; Actinopteri; Syngnathiformes; Syngnathidae
Exons: 2
Source: RefSeq, a predicted model, not a curated record